GUUAAGUGGGAAACGAUGUGGGAAGGCCCAGACAGCCAGGAUGUUGGCUUAGAAGCAGCCAUCAUUUAAAGAAAGCGUAAUAGCUCACUGGUCGAGUCGGCCUGCGCGGAAGAUGUAACGGGGCUAAACUAUGCACCGAAGCUGCGGCAGCGACACUAUGUGUUGUUGGGUAGGGGAGCGUUCUGUAAGCCUGUGAAGGUGUGUCGUGAGGCAUGCUGGAGGUAUCAGAAGUGCGAAUGCUGACAUAAGUAACGAUAAAGCGGGUGAAAAGCCCGCUCGCCGGAAGACCAAGGGUUCCUGUCCAACGUUAAUCGGGGCAGGGUGAGUCGACCCCUAAGGCGAGGCCGAAAGGCGUAGUCGAUGGGAAACGGGUUAAUAUUCCCGUACUUGGUGUUACUGCGAAGGGGGGACGGAGAAGGCUAUGUUGGCCGGGCGACGGUUGUCCCGGUUUAAGCGUGUAGGUGUGUGUUCCAGGUAAAUC
RNAcentral lists this ribosomal RNA (481 nucleotides) under Salmonella enterica. RNAcentral describes it as "partial 23S ribosomal RNA". It matches the Rfam family "Bacterial large subunit ribosomal RNA", at positions 1058 to 1542 of the family's 2925-position model. Lineage: Bacteria; Pseudomonadati; Pseudomonadota; Gammaproteobacteria; Enterobacterales; Enterobacteriaceae. The record is from RNAcentral. RNAcentral also lists the same sequence under 1 other name.